UACGUAGGGUGCGAGCGUUGUCCGGAUUUAUUGGGCGUAAAGGGCUCGUAGGCGGCGUGUCGCGUCGGGAGUGAAAGCCCGUUGCUUAACGGCGGGUUGGUUUUCGGUACGGGCAUGCUGGAGUGCGGCAGGGGAGACUGGAAUUCCUGGUGUAGCGGUGGAAUGCGCAGAUAUCAGGAGGAACACCGGUGGCGAAGGCGGGUCUCUGGGCCGUUACUGACGCUGAGGAGCGAAAGCGUGGGGAGCGAACAGG
Molecule: ribosomal RNA, 253 nt
Filed under: uncultured bacterium
Lineage: Bacteria
Description: partial 16S ribosomal RNA
Rfam family: Bacterial small subunit ribosomal RNA
Source: RNAcentral